GAAGGGUUCCAAAGGAUUGCUACCCCUUAAACCCGAGACUUAAACCUCGGACCCAUCA
This 58-nucleotide transfer RNA is filed under the name Uromastyx geyri. RNAcentral describes it as "tRNA-Ser". RNAcentral also lists the same sequence under 1 other name. Lineage: Eukaryota; Metazoa; Chordata; Lepidosauria; Squamata; Agamidae. The record is from RNAcentral.